UACGGAAGGCAGCAGGGGGAAUAUUGCACAAUGGGCGCAAGCCUGAUGCAGCCAUGCCGCGUGUAUGAAAAAGGCCUUCGGGUUGUAAAGUACUUUCAGUCGUGAGGAAGGUGUUAAGGUUAAUAACCUUAGCAAUUGACGUUAGCGACAGAAGAAGCACCGGCUAACUCCGUGCCAGCAGCCGCGGUAAUACGGAGGGUGCGAGCGUUAAUCGGAAUUACUGGGCGUAAAGGGCACGCAGGCGGUUAAUUAAGUUGGAUGUGAAAUCCCCGGGCUUAACCUGGGAAUGGCAUUCAAGACUGGUUAGCUAGAGUCUUGUAGAGGGGGUAGAAUUCCAUGUGUAGCGGUGAAAUGCGUAGAGAUGUGGAGGAAUACCGGUGGCGAAGGCGGCCCCUGGACAAAGACUGACGCUCAUGUGCGAAAGCGUGGGGAGCGAAACAGGGAUUAGAUACC
Molecule: ribosomal RNA, 453 nt
Filed under: uncultured bacterium
Lineage: Bacteria
Description: bacterial SSU rRNA
Rfam family: Bacterial small subunit ribosomal RNA
Source: RNAcentral